RNAcentral lists this ribosomal RNA (856 nucleotides) under uncultured bacterium. RNAcentral describes it as "bacterial SSU rRNA". It matches the Rfam family "Bacterial small subunit ribosomal RNA", at positions 62 to 949 of the family's 1533-position model. The record is from RNAcentral.
UCGACGAUGAAUCUUCUAGCUUGCUAGAAGUGGAUUAGUGGCGCACGGGUGAGUAAUGCAUAGGUUAUGUGCCCUUUAGUCUGGGAUAGCCACUGGAAACGGUGAUUAAUACUGGAUACUCCCUACGGGGGAAAGUUUUUCGCUAAAGGAUCAGCCUAUGUCCUAUCAGCUUGUUGGUGAGGUAAUGGCUCACCAAGGCUAUGACGGGUAUCCGGCCUGAGAGGGUGAUCGGACACACUGGAACUGAGACACGGUCCAGACUCCUACGGGAGGCAGCAGUAGGGAAUAUUGCUCAAUGGGGGAAACCCUGAAGCAGCAACGCCGCGUGGAGGAUGAAGGUUUUAGGAUUGUAAACUCCUUUUGUUAGAGAAGAUUAUGACGGUAUCUAACGAAUAAGCACCGGCUAACUCCGUGCCAGCAGCCGCGGUAAUACGGAGGGUGCAAGCGUUACUCGGAAUCACUGGGCGUAAAGAGUGCGUAGGCGGGGUAAUAAGUCAGAUGUGAAAUCCUGUAGCUUAACUACAGAACUGCAUUUGAAACUGUUACUCUGGAGUGUGGGAGAGGUAGGUGGAAUUCUUGGUGUAGGGGUAAAAUCCGUAGAGAUCAAGAGGAAUACUCAUUGCGAAGGCGACCUGCUGGAACAUUACUGACGCUGAUGCACGAAAGCGUGGGGAGCAAACAGGAUUAGAUACCCUGGUAGUCCACGCCCUAAACGAUGGAUGCUAGUUGUUGCCUUGCUUGUCAGGGCAGUAAUGCAGCUAACGCAUUAAGCAUCCCGCCUGGGGAGUACGGUCGCAAGAUUAAAACUCAAAGGAAUAGACGGGGACCCGCACAAGCGGUGGAGCAUGUGGUUUAA